This 253-nucleotide ribosomal RNA is filed under the name uncultured bacterium. RNAcentral's name for it is "partial 16S ribosomal RNA". It matches the Rfam family "Bacterial small subunit ribosomal RNA", at positions 524 to 776 of the family's 1533-position model. The record is from RNAcentral.
UACGGAGGGUGCAAGCGUUAUCCGGAUUCACUGGGGUUAAAGGGUGCGUAGGUGGGUUGGUAAGUCAGGGGUGAAAUCUCCGAGCUUAACUUGGAAACUGCCAUUGAUACUAUCAGUCUUGAAUAUUGUGGAGGUCAGCGGAAUAUGUCAUGUAGCGGUGAAAUGCUUAGAUAUGACAUAGAACACCAAUUGCGAAGGCAGCUGGCUACACAUAUAUUGACACUGAGGCACGAAAGCGUGGGGAUCAAACAGG